RNAcentral lists this ribosomal RNA (460 nucleotides) under uncultured bacterium. RNAcentral's name for it is "partial 16S ribosomal RNA". It matches the Rfam family "Bacterial small subunit ribosomal RNA", at positions 338 to 795 of the family's 1533-position model. The record is from RNAcentral.
CCUACGGGGCGCAGCAGUGAGGAAUAUUGGUCAAUGGACGAGAGUCUGAACCAGCCAAGUAGCGUGAAGGAUGACUGCCCUAUGGGUUGUAAACUUCUUUUAUAUGGGAAUAAAAUGUUCCACGUGUGGGAUUUUGUAUGUACCAUAUGAAUAAGGAUCGGCUAACUCCGUGCCAGCAGCCGCGGUAAUACGGAGGAUCCGAGCGUUAUCCGGGUUUUUUGGGUUUAAAGGGAGCGUAGGUGGAUUGUUAAGUCAGUUGUGAAAGUUUGCGGCUCAACCGUAAAAUUGCAGUUGAAACUGGCAGUGUUGAGUACAGUAGAGGUAGGCGGAAUUCGUGGUGUAGCGGUGAAAUGCUUAGAUAUCACGAAGAACUCCGAUUGCGAAGGCAGCUCACUGGACUGCAACUGACACUGAGGCUCGAAAGUGUGGGUAUCAAACAGGAUUAGAUACCCCAGUAGUC